This is a long non-coding RNA of Salvia miltiorrhiza (redroot sage), 1697 nucleotides long. RefSeq lists it as uncharacterized. The transcript is spliced from 2 exons. NCBI's taxonomy places the organism in Eukaryota, Viridiplantae, Streptophyta, Magnoliopsida, Lamiales, Lamiaceae. The record is from RefSeq and is a predicted model, not a curated record.
AAACUAUGUACAAUGUAAUCAGCCACAAAGAUAGUGAAAUUUUGAGCAACUCCAUGGACGUAGAUCAUUUAGUGAUCGAAUCAUGUAUAUUCGGUGUCGUUUAUGACUUUUAUCUAUUUUCUAGUAUAAGAAUUAUUUCGAAUCUCAUCAACUGGUGCCGUCCGUGGGAAAUUGAGCUAAGACGUGAGGUUCUUUUCUGGCAAAGUUUUCCGGCGAGUUCGUCAAUUUCAUGCACUUGGCGAAGAAUACUACAACAAUUCCCGAUCAUACCCCAAAUGUCUUUUUUUUGGCUGAAUCAGUUUAUGGUAGUUUCAAAAUCUGAAAUCCUCAAUCCAGGAAAAAGGCCCCAAUUCGAAAACAUUAUCUGAUCCCUAAUCCUAAAUCACAAUUUCGAUGCUAGCACAAACUCCGGUGAAUCUUUUUUAGUUUUCCAGUCUCUGUGGGGAAUGGCUGGCAACUUUCCACCAUCUCCGGUGAGAAAUUGGGUAUACCAAGAUCCCAAUCGAAAGUAUCUGGUGGUCAGAACAAAAAUAUCGAUCCAAAUCAAGGAAAAUCUCCAUUCUCUCAAAUAUCGAUCUGUCUGAAUCUGGACAAAGCGUCCCCGUUCACGCCUCCGAGAAAGCACAGAACCGGGCACACUGUCGUCUGUCCCCGCUUCAUCUCGUACGAGCCGCGACCAGAGCUACGGACAACUCGUCUUCUCAAGUCCGAUUUCUUCAAUUUAGGGCAAAGCUCGGUCCUAAACUGCAUUCCAGCGAUGCCCAAUUUUACAAAGCUAAGUUGAAAAUUGAAGUGUAACUCAGGCUCAGCGAACCCCUGUUCGGCACGCGACGCCAAACAGCUUUUUCUUGUCAUCGUCCCACGAUGCCCCUCCAGCUAUCUCUCAGCUGCAGAGCAGCGCCUUGGCGGCGUAGGAGGCCACCGACAUGGCCGUCGCCGGCCUAGUUAUUGACACAGGCUGCAUCAAAAACGCCCGUCGUCGCGGCGAGCUCAUUCUAUUUUUGCUCUCAGUUUCUCAAAUACAAACAUAUUUCCAUAAUUUUCUCCCUCGAUUGGAGAGUUCUAAUUUCCUUUUUGUUGUGGAUUAAAAGAUGCAGGUAUAGAACCCUGAAUUUGCACGAAAUCUGGCGACGAACCAGAACCACGAUCUCUGCUCGAAUCGGCUUGAAUGAGUUCGAAUCAGACCUGAUGUGGGCAUGAUAUGUAGCAUGAUAGUCCUAAAUCUUGGCUAUUGAGGACGAUUGCAAGAGAAGACGAUUUCCUUCAACCCGAGCAUCGAUAGCAAAAAAACAAUGCUGUCAAGAAACCUCAGCGCUGAAAAAGAUGACCUAUUGGUUAACUUUACUAUUGGGUAGAAUGAUAAUUUAAUUGUUGAAAUAGGACAUUGGAAGAUCUCCACAUCGCCGGCUCUAUCGGGUAUGCGGCCAGUUGUAACUAACGUUAACCAAGCUCUGGACUUCCAGCCCAGAAUUGAGAAAACAUAGGGGAUAGGAGGCGCUGAUUCUUCGCUCUGAAGGUGCCACUAACGUAGUUGGCAAAGACUCGGGUCAAGAAUGAACAUUGCGGAGCUAAGUUUCCCAUCCCUUUUCGUUUUGUCAAUUUUUUGUGAAUCAAUCAUGUUUGGGAGUCACUUGCCAUGUUUAGUUUGAACUGGAAUGUUACAUAUGUUUGGUUAAUCUAUGACUGAUUUAUUCUAA